CAAGUCGAACGCGAAAGUUCCCUUCGGGGGGCAAGUAGAGUGGCGCACGGGUGAGUAACACGUAGGUAAUCUACCUUUGGAUUGGGAAUAACCACCGGAAACGGUGGCUAAUACCGAAUAAUGCAGCGGCACCUAAUGGUGACAGUUGUUAAAGCGGGGGAUCGUAAGACCUCGCGUCUGAAGAGGAGCCUGCGGCAGAUUAGCUAGUUGGUAAGGUAACGGCUUACCAAGGCGAUGAUCUGUAGCCGGCCUGAGAGGGCGGUCGGCCACACUGACACUGACAUACGGGUCAGACUCCUACGGGAGGCAGCAGUCGGGAAUUUUGGGCAAUGGGCGAAAGCCUGACCCAGCAACGCCGCGUGAAGGAUGAAAUCCUUCGGGAUGUAAACUUCGCAAGAACGGGAAGAAUAAGUAAGAGUUAAUAUCUCUUACGAUGACGGUACUGUUUGUAAGCUCCGGCUAACUCCGUGCCAGCAGCCGCGGUAAUACGGGGGGAGCAAGCGUUGUUCGGAUUUACUGGGCGUAAAGGGCGCGUAGGCGGCCACCGCAAGUCGACUGUGAAAUCUCCGGGCUUAACCCGGAAAGGUCAGCCGAUACUGCGGGGCUAGAGUGCAGAAGGGGCAACUGGAAUUCUCGGUGUAGCGGUGAAAUGCGUAGAUAUCGAGAGGAACACCUGCGGCGAAGGCGGGUUGCUGGGCUGACACUGACGCUGAUGCGCGAAAGCUAGGGGAGCGAACGGGAUUAGAUACCCCGGUAGUCCUAGCCUUAAACGAUGAAUGCUUGGUGUCUGGGGUUUUAUAGUCCCCGGGUGCCGUCGCUAACGCUUUAAGCAUUCCGCCUGGGG
This 844-nucleotide ribosomal RNA is filed under the name uncultured Actinomycetes bacterium. RNAcentral's name for it is "bacterial SSU rRNA". It matches the Rfam family "Bacterial small subunit ribosomal RNA", at positions 58 to 878 of the family's 1533-position model. Lineage: Bacteria; Bacillati; Actinomycetota; Actinomycetes. The record is from RNAcentral.